RNAcentral lists this ribosomal RNA (234 nucleotides) under uncultured Candidatus Saccharibacteria bacterium. Its description in RNAcentral is "partial 16S ribosomal RNA". It matches the Rfam family "Bacterial small subunit ribosomal RNA", at positions 584 to 818 of the family's 1533-position model. Lineage: Bacteria; Candidatus Saccharimonadota. The record is from RNAcentral.
UAAGCGAACAGUGAAAUUGUGUGGCUCAACCAUACACCCAUUGUUCGAACUGCUCAGCUUGAAGAUGAGAGAGGUUACUGGAAUUCCCUGUGUAGGAGUGAAAUCCGUAGAUAUAGGGAGGAACACCGAUGGCGUAGGCAGGUAACUGGCUCAUUCUUGACACUAAGGCACGAAAGCGUGGGAGCAAACGGGAUUAGAUACCCCGGUAGUCCACGCCGUAAACGAUGGAUGCUA